CCCUUAGAUGUCCUGGGCCGCACGCGUGCUACACUGAUGCAUACAGCGAGUACUCCCAGCUCCGAGAGGCUGCUGGUAAUCAGCAAUAUGCAUCGUGAUGGGGAUAGAUCUUUGGAAUUAUAGAUCUUGAACGAGGAAUUCCUAGUAAUCGCAGGUCAUCACCCUGCGUUGACUAAGUCCCUGCCCUUUGUACACACCGCCCGUCGCUCCUACCGAUUUCAAGUGAUCCGGUGAAUCAUUCGGACCGCGGCCCCUAGGCAUGCGGAAAGUCUAGUAAACCAUAUCACUUAGAGGAAGGAGAAGUCGUAACA
This 311-nucleotide ribosomal RNA is filed under the name uncultured eukaryote. RNAcentral describes it as "partial 18S ribosomal RNA". It matches the Rfam family "Eukaryotic small subunit ribosomal RNA", at positions 1470 to 1796 of the family's 1831-position model. The record is from RNAcentral.